AAACAUGUCUCUUUGAUUUAUUUUAAUAAAGAGUUGGGCCUGCUCGGUGAUUAAUAUUUAACAGCUGCGGUAUUAUAACUGUACUAAGGUAGCAUAAUAAUUUGCCUUAUAAAUUGAGGCUAGAAUGAAUGGUUUGACGAAAAUUAUACUGUCUCUGUCUUAUUUAUUAGAAGUUAAUUUUUAUAGUGAGAAAGCUUGGAUAAUUUAAAGGGACGAAAAGACCCUAUUGAGCUUUAUAUUAUACUUUAAAAUUAUUUAUUGUUUUUAUUUAAAUAUAAUUUUGGUUGGGGUGAUCAAGGAAUAAAUAAUUAAUUUUAACUUCCUUAAUUUGUUUAUAGUUAUAUGAAUAAACCAAAUUUUUUGCUUAGAAGAUAAGUUACCAUAGGGAUAACAGCGUAAUUUUUUUUGAAAGUUCAUAUUGAAAAAAGAGAUUGCGACCUCGAUGUUGGAUUAAAAUAACCUUAAGGUGAAGAGGCUUUAAUUGGUGAAUCUGUUCGAUUUUUAAAAUUUUACGUGAUCU
Molecule: ribosomal RNA, 520 nt
Filed under: Amphioctopus aegina
Lineage: Eukaryota; Metazoa; Mollusca; Cephalopoda; Octopoda; Octopodidae
Description: partial 16S rRNA
Rfam family: Bacterial large subunit ribosomal RNA
Source: RNAcentral